RNAcentral lists this small nuclear RNA (134 nucleotides) under Chinchilla lanigera (long-tailed chinchilla). RNAcentral's name for it is "U4 spliceosomal RNA (ENSCLAG00000020789.1)". It matches the Rfam family "U4 spliceosomal RNA". Rfam says of the family: U4 small nuclear RNA (U4 snRNA) is a component of the major U2-dependent spliceosome. The structure of U4 snRNA from yeast and human has been reported. Lineage: Eukaryota; Metazoa; Chordata; Mammalia; Rodentia; Chinchillidae. The record is from Rfam by way of RNAcentral.
UUCUUUGCGCAGUGGCAGUAUUGUAGCCAAUGAGGUUUAUCUGAGGCGUGAUUAUUGCUAAUUGGAAACUUUUCCCAAGAGAAUUUCCAUUCACUGGUCUCUAGAGGAGCACACUUUGGUACUGUGAAGGCAUG